UCCCGACGGCCCGAGUGGUGCUCACAAUUAUUGGGUCUAAAACAUUCGUAGUCGGUUUCUUAAGUCUUUUGUCAAAUCACUAUGCUUAACGUAGCCACGGCAAAAGAUACUGGGAGACUAGGGACUGGGAGACGUAACGAGUACAGUAGGGGUAACGGUAAAAUGUUUUAAGCCUUACUGGACUAACAAUGGCGAAGGCACGUUACGAGAACAGCUCCGACGAUGAGGAAUGAAAGCUAGGGGCG
This 245-nucleotide ribosomal RNA is filed under the name uncultured archaeon. RNAcentral's name for it is "partial 16S ribosomal RNA". It matches the Rfam family "Archaeal small subunit ribosomal RNA", at positions 474 to 719 of the family's 1478-position model. The record is from RNAcentral.